UUUAUCUUAAGACCCAAAAGUAAAAUUGUCCAACCAAGAACCAUGCCAAUAACAUCAAGGAGCUCCUUUACCAGCCACGCCUAAAGGGAGGUCUGUCCUGGACUUAAAACAAGCCAGUAUCUUUCUUCAUACAGAAGCCAGUUUGGCUUUCUGACACCUGCAAUUAAAUGAGUCCUAACUAACAGGAACAAGCCCUCCUUUCUUCAGCAACCAGCCAACCAGCUCCAAACUCUGAAUCUCAUUCUUGACAGUGGCAAACCCACCGCAGUAGCUGGCAUAGCAGUGUGACAAGCCGUCUGGAGUUUCCCACUAGAACUGCGAAUCACAGCCAGAGAGUGGCGGUGCCUGGAGAAGAACCACCAAGGUCCGGGAGCCGGCUGAGAGGCUGAAGGCCUGGCACACACCACGCGAAAACCAUCACGGCAACGAUGCCACUUUGUUUCAAAAUCAUAAAGAUAUUUUUCAAAUGCAAUUUUGGCCAUUCCAGUAAAUCUUUACAUGUUUUCAUCUGUA
This is a long non-coding RNA of Manis javanica (Malayan pangolin), 513 nucleotides long. RefSeq lists it as uncharacterized. The record is from RefSeq and is a predicted model, not a curated record. Lineage: Eukaryota; Metazoa; Chordata; Mammalia; Pholidota; Manidae.